ACAGCUUGAGGAAAUUAUCAAGAAAUUGGAUUCUGAUGCUGAGAGUGAUUCCAAAGUUGUGUGGGAACAAGUAGUAACUACUCUUCAAAACCUAGA
Molecule: non-coding RNA, 96 nt
Organism: Pogona vitticeps (central bearded dragon)
Lineage: Eukaryota; Metazoa; Chordata; Lepidosauria; Squamata; Agamidae
Source: RefSeq, a predicted model, not a curated record